ACUUGAUAGUGGAGCUUGUACGCCGGUUACUCCAUCAGUACCAUCGUUUAUUUUGGUAAUUAAUCAUGCCCGACUACUGAACACAAGUGUUUUGUGUCCGCAAACAUGGCAGAGAUGGUUUGGGACCCUCAAAUUGGAUCUGGUGUUGCUCAUGCUUCUAUUUUUCAUUAUCCUGCAGAAGACACAUCAAGACGGCGUUUGAUCAAGACAUCAUAUUUAUUUAUUUAAAAAAAAAUGUUACAAUAAUAAAGAAAAAAAAAAUGUUAUUCUUACUUUUUGGCGGAGGAGCUAGUUUAAUGUUUCAGUAAAGAAAAAAAAUGUU
Sitophilus oryzae (rice weevil) is the source of this 322-nucleotide long non-coding RNA. RefSeq lists it as uncharacterized. The record is from RefSeq and is a predicted model, not a curated record. NCBI's taxonomy places the organism in Eukaryota, Metazoa, Arthropoda, Insecta, Coleoptera, Curculionidae. The transcript has 2 exons.